Molecule: ribosomal RNA, 253 nt
Filed under: uncultured bacterium
Lineage: Bacteria
Description: partial 16S ribosomal RNA
Rfam family: Bacterial small subunit ribosomal RNA
Source: RNAcentral
UACAGAGGGUGCAAGCGUUAAUCGGAAUUACUGGGCGUAAAGCGUGCGUAGUCGGUUAUCUAAGUCGGGUGUGAAAUCUCAAGGCUCAACCUUGAGCUUGCAGUGGGUACGGGCAGACUAGAGUGUGGUAGGGGAGACUGGAAUUCCUGGUGUAGCGGUGAAAUGCGCAGAUAUCAGGAGGAACACCGGUGGCGAAGGCGGGUCUCUGGGCCGUAACUGACGCUGAGGAGCGAAAGCGUGGGGAGCGAACAGG